UAGCCUAGUGGUCAAGGCUAUGGAUCGCCAAUCCGGAGACAGCGGGUUCGAUUCCCGU
This is a non-coding RNA of Aedes albopictus (Asian tiger mosquito), 58 nucleotides long. Lineage: Eukaryota; Metazoa; Arthropoda; Insecta; Diptera; Culicidae. The record is from Rfam.